UACAUGAGUUACUUGGCCUGAUUUUUUUAAAAUAAGGGUGGCAUUUUGUUCACAGUAAUUUUCUUAAUCUAAAAAUUAUAUAUGGUAUGGUCUUUGCUAUGCUCAUCAUUUUUGUAUGGUAGUUAACUAAACUUUAAAUUAUCAUUAGAAAUUAAAUGACCUUUUAGUUCUAUGACAAAAGCAUUCAUGGUAUUUAAUUCUCAAACGGAACAUCUGACAUUUUGAGCUUCGUGGAACUUUUUUCAGUCUUGUUAUAUUAUUUGGCUCAUCUUCAUAUCUUUUAUUAGCAGGUGAUGUGAUGGGUUGUUGAAGCAGAUGGAUAGUUAAGAACUAUGUAGCCUACAUGCCGACUUACACUUAUAUUUAAACCACACAUGCUCAAGUCAGAUUGUUGAAUGAAUUUACUCACCUACUGUCGAAUACGGAUGCUUUGAUGCAAUUUUGGGAUAAAAUUAAAUUGAUUGAGCAUCUAUGAAGUUGCAACACAAUUCUGAUAAGAAUGCAUACUCGGGUGCCAGAGAGGAUGUCAAAGCCAUGUUUUGCAUGGUUGAGUGCUUGGACCAUGGUGAUAAGGGUCGAUCUUGCAUCACCCUCUUCAUAAACACUAGUAAGGUAGUUGUGCAUCUCAAUCUGACCCUGUUAUUGAGUUUGUUUGACAAAAAAAACAGAGUUAGUCACUUGAAAGCUUAUUCAUUUCGAGUAAAAGCCAGUUUAGCUGAAAAUUUGAAAUUUAAAUUACUUUAUGAUCCAUUUCUGCAACAUCAUCCAUGACUCCUUUAAACCAUUCAAAAGAGCCAGGUUCUCUUGUAACCCAGUAAAAAUGGGCAUUUGUAGUUCUCUGCGAUUUCUUCUUCCCUCCAGGUGUUAUAUUUGACGAGGUGAAGCUAUUUAGGCUAUCAUCUGAUGUACUAGCUUCCGUAUUUGAAUCCUAGGACAUGGAUACAUUGGGUGCAAUUAGGGGAAGUAAAAGUCAAUACAAAAGUUAUAUAGACACUGUAAAAAAGGAGACAUGAAACGCGUACUUGCUCUUCUGCUCUUGUAUUGUUUACAAGAUCUCUAAGGAUGCUUAUAAAAGGUGUAGCUCCAAUCCCAAGCCCCACCAGCAGCAAGACAUCAUAGUUUCGAUAAUCUUGUGCUGGUGCCCCGUAUGGGCCAUCAACAAGCAAUCUGGGUUGGCUGCAUUUGAUGUUCUGUUUUAAUAUUUCUAGAGAUAAGCAGAACCUAAAAUAUUUGUAGGUAAAGUUACUUGAAGAAUAUACCUUCUCUGAUAUGAAACUCCAAGCUGACCAAAGUGAGCCCUACCAAUCACAGCGGAUGGAUCAUUGCCUUCAGUAACAACUCGUUUCAAUUCUUCUGUCCAGUCUCCCACUGUUCUGAUGUGAACACUUAAAUAGUCGUCUCCUGGGGCUGAGGUAAUUGAAAAUGGGUGCCUGCAAAGAAGAAAGUGGUGACGAUUGGUUUGACGUGUGAAUUGUAGACAGAGUCAUAAAGGACAAUGAAUUUCUUAUCUGAUGAGACUCACCAUUCAAAUUGAGAGAUUGGUGGACAUUGUAGAAAUAUAUACUGCCCACUUUUGUACUUGAAUCCGGGUGGCUUGGACAUGAUUAAGUUGAAAACUUGCCCUGGUAGCACUGAGACCUGUCCAAUGUCAUCAUCUAUGUUAGUUUCAUUGGCUCCGCUCAGCUACAUACAAUAUCAAUGGAACAGAGAUGUACAUCCACGUCUGGACAAUUAACAAAGGAUCAACUUGCAGUUCCUCUUCCGUUUAUAUAAAUACAGAACAAAACCAAGAAAAUCUUACCGAUUUCUGAUACCACUCGUGUGCCAAAUACAGGCAUUGCCCGUGGACUACUAGCAAAAUGUAGACGAAAGCAAACAGGUGAUGAGAGUACCAGAAUGCAUUGAAGCCUGUCAACUUGUUCAAAGGCGCUGGCAAUUUCACCACGUUUCUACGGAAUCGACGAGCAGCAAGCGUGAACGCAACGAUCAUGAACACCACCAUUAGAAUUCCAGUCACACCCUCUGGACCUGUCAAAAGAUCUUUGUACGUCGGCUGUACGCCAUGAAAAUCGGAGGAUAUGACUGCAAAUCUUUCUGGCGGUGAGUUUACCAGCCUAGGAAAAUCGCACGUUAAGUGGUUCCCCGCAUGGAGAGUGAUUCCGACGGCUAUACCACACGCAAUUAACUGCAUGACAAUUGACAAAAGGUCUAAAGUUACCUUUCUGUGAGAAUAUUACAGCAUAACUUCCAUAAGUAUGCAUUGUUUUUCCCUCAUAUAAAUAAUGACGCUGCUACAAUAUAAUCUACUGACAGUAGGCACUGCCAUUUUAAUAAAUUUAAUCAAAGUAUAACUUACCUGUCCCAUGAGACAGAAA
Long non-coding RNA from Cannabis sativa, 2375 nucleotides. RefSeq lists it as uncharacterized. The transcript has 3 exons. The record is from RefSeq and is a predicted model, not a curated record. Lineage: Eukaryota; Viridiplantae; Streptophyta; Magnoliopsida; Rosales; Cannabaceae.